Long non-coding RNA from Haliotis rufescens (red abalone), 5353 nucleotides. RefSeq lists it as uncharacterized. The transcript has 6 exons. Lineage: Eukaryota; Metazoa; Mollusca; Gastropoda; Lepetellida; Haliotidae. The record is from RefSeq and is a predicted model, not a curated record.
AUCAGCCACAUAUCUCGGACCACCCCACGAGUCUCUCUUAACCGUUCAAUUAACGUUCCGCUUGGUGUUGCCACACCUGUCCGCCAUCUGCUGUUGAGAUACUGUAACGGUUCUCGUCUGAAAAGAGGACUUCUCCCACUGCUGGUGCUGUGCUACCCACUGAAGACGGUCCAGGAAACAAAGAAGAAGACUGAAAGGAUACCACUGGGAGUGCUUCAGUGAGGACCUCAGUGACCGUUCUCCAUCACAGAAGGUGCUCAGCGGAGGGGACUACCUCACCCUUGAGAGGCAGAAACAAGCCAAUCAUGCACUACGAGAUGGACCUAUACCAAGUUCCAGAUUACAAGGACUUGUUCCAAAGAUGGAAGAGUUCCAUAACGAAGCUGAAUUUCUAAAGGUUAUAUGGAAACACUUGUACUCGUCCUCCUCUAACAAGUCUGUUUGGCACUCUGCAUGCUGCAAAGGAGCACAAUAAAUGCGGUGAAUGUUAGUCAGGAUCCUCAUGACAACUUUUACCCAUGCUCUGAAUUCAUGGACAAGGUCACCACCGCCUACAUCGUAACUGGGGGACUACAUUACUUCCAAAUGGAACACCUCACUUCUGUCCCAACGUCAAGUUACAUGGGUGCUGUUGGCAAUCCAUAUAAAAUGAUUGAUUAUUUUCUAGGUCAUGCAGCAAAACAGUUUGUAGACAAGCACGUCUUACCGGAGGUUCCUCAACAGCCAGGUCAUGGUCUCCAAAUCAAACACACUAGCCUGCAGGUACUGUGGAAAACUGUACCAGAGACCAAAAGCUCUCCGCAAACACGAAGCACGUUUGCAUGGAUAUUCUGAUCCGGAAUAUAAUGCUGAAAACAAUCAGGAUUCCACAUCUUCAGCAGAAUCAAGAUCAUCUAUUUAUCAGUACACCCGUCUGUCUCUCAUGCUUGGGCUUCUUCGAAUAAAUCACAACGAUUCCAUUCACAUGGGAGAUGGUGGCAGGCAUGAUGAGACUAGUAAAGUGGUUCUGUUUAUACUACAAGGCAAGCAAAUGUCCAAAGUAUGCAUAUGGUCUCCUUUGAAACACAGGCAAAGGCAUAUGCUCUCCUAUAUGAACGGCAGGCUUUAUAGACUGAUAUGGAACCGCACAGUCAACCAUCAAGGCAGAGAAGACACCAAUCAUCCCAUCGACCUUGACUUGGAGCAUUGCAACAGGGCUUUCAAAGAUAAUGUACACACAUACAAGGGGAGGUACACAGAUAAAAGACGAUUCUCAAAGUCAGCAGAAGUGCGCUGUCAAUGGAAGAAUUAUGCCAAAAAUACGACAAAUUGGCAUUCUGCAAGAAAAGUUCGGGAAGGCAUGGAGUUGUUGAUCCUUCUUGGUGAUAUUCUUAAACUUGUAGAACAAUUCCAUUCCUAUGCAGCUCUAUUCAAUGAGGCCAACAAGCCACUGCCACAGAGAAUUCAAGAACAUGCUGAGUGACAUCCAAAAUUGGAUUUCAGAAAGUCUUAAAGUCUUCAGUAGCCGCACAUACCAUAACAUCUGAACCUUUUUUCCCGAUGUGUAAUUCAGUGUCACAUGAUUAAAACGAGACCCUGUUGCAAAGUCGCUAUCACUGUAUGUUUCAUGAUCUUCAUGUUCUGAGUCUGAGUGAGAUGAUGAGCUAUCACUCGAGUCAAGGGAAGUUUUGUACAACUCAAGAAUAUCACAUCUACAUUCACUACAUGGGGUAUUGCAUGUCCAUGAGUCUCUGCAGUCACCGAGACACUUGCAAGAUAUGGCACAGUUGUCCAUAGCACUCAUGACUUCAGUAAGCUCAACUUGUCGACAUACGUUGGUUCUGACAUACUGUUUCAUUUCAUCCGAAAUAUUCCGCCUGCCACUGAGACAUUGUCUAAAUUUCAUGAGAAGAGCAUGUGCCUGCUUUUCUGGAUCCCUGCCUGCUCCGUCCUUGUCUCUUGAAUAUAAUCCUCAACAUUAUUGGCUGGACCAUAGUGGAUGACGGUUUCCACACUUUCUUAGCAUUGUGUAUACACAACGUAAUUAACGGAUUCUGACAUCAGCCACAUAUCUCGGACCACCCCACGAGUCUCUCUUAACCGUUCAAUUAACGUUCCGCUUGGUGUUGCCACACCUGUCCGCCAUCUGCUGUUGAGAUACUGUAACGGUUCUCGUCUGAAAAGAGGACUUCUCCCACUGCUGGUGCUGUGCUACCCACUGAAGACGGUCCAGGAAACAAAGAAGAAGACUGAAAGGAUACCACUGGGAGUGCUUCAGUGAGGACCUCAGUGACCGUUCUCCAUCACAGUAGGUGCUCAGCAGAGGGGACUACCUCACCCUUGAGAGGCAGAAACAAGCCAAUCAUGCACUUACGAGAUGGACCUACACCAAGUUCCAGAUUACAAGGACUUGUUCCAAAGAUGGAAGAGUUCCAUAACGAAGCUGAAUUUCUAAAGGUUAUAUGGAAACACUUGUACUCGUCCUCCUCUAACAAGUCUGUUUGGCACUCUGCAUGCUGCAAAGGAGCACAAUAAUGUGAAUGUUACUCAGGAUCCUCAUGACAACUUUUACCCAUGCUCUGAAUUCAUGGACAAGGUCACCACCGCCUACAUCGUAACUGGGGGACUACAUUACUUCCAAAUGGAACACCUCACUUCUGUCCCAACGUCAAGUUACAUGGGUGCUGUUGGCAAUCCAUAUAAAAUGAUUGAUUAUUUUCUAGGUCAUGCAGCAAAACAGUUUGUAGACAAGCACGUCUUACCGGAGGUUCCUCAACAGCCAGGUCAUGGUCUCCAAAUCAAACACACUAGCCUGCAGGUACUGUGGAAAACUGUACCAGAGACCAAAAGCUCUCCGCAAACACGAAGCACGUUUGCAUGGAUAUUCUGAUCCGGAAUAUAAUGCUGAAAACAAUCAGGAUUCCACAUCUUCAGCAGAAUCAAGAUCAUCUAUUUAUCAGUACACCCGUCUGUCUCUCAUGCUUGGGCUUCUUCGAAUAAAUCACAACGAUUCCAUUCACAUGGGAGAUGGUGGCAGGCAUGAUGAGACUAGUAAAGUGGUUCUGUUUAUACUACAAGGCAAGCAAAUGUCCAAAGUAUGCAUAUGGUCUCCUUUGAAACACAGGCAAAGGCAUAUGCUCUCCUAUAUGAACGGCAGGCUUUAUAGACUGAUAUGGAACCGCACAGUCAACCAUCAAGGCAGAGAAGACACCAAUCAUCCCAUCGACCUUGACUUGGAGCAUUGCAACAGGGCUUUCAAAGAUAAUGUACACACAUACAAGGGGAGGUACACAGAUAAAAGACGAUUCUCAAAGUCAGCAGAAGUGCGCUGUCAAUGGAAGAAUUAUGCCAAAAAUACGACAAAUUGGCAUUCUGCAAGAAAAGUUCGGGAAGGCAUGGAGUUGUUGAUCCUUCUUGGUGAUAUUCUUAAACUUGUAGAACAAUUCCAUUCCUAUGCAGCUCUAUUCAAUGAGGCCAACAAGCCACUGCCACAGAGAAUUCAAGAACAUGCUGAGUGACAUCCAAAAUUGGAUUUCAGAAAGUCUUAAAGUCUUCAGUAGCCGCACAUACUAUAACAUCUGAACCUUUUUUCCCGAUGUGUAAUUCAGUGUCACAUGAUUAAAACGAGACCCUGUUGCAAAGUCGCUAUCACUGUAUGUUUCAUGAUCUUCAUGUUCUGAGUCUGAGUGAGAUGAUGAGCUAUCACUCGAGUCAAGGGAAGUUUUGUACAACUCAAGAAUAUCACAUCUACAUUCACUACAUGGGGUAUUGCAUGUCCAUGAGUCUCUGCAGUCACCGAGACACUUGCAAGAUAUGGCACAGUUGUCCAUAGCACUCAUGACUUCAGUAAGCUCAACUUGUCGACAUACGUUGGUUCUGACAUACUGUUUCAUUUCAUCCGAAAUAUUCCGCCUGCCACUGAGACAUUGUCUAAAUUUCAUGAGAAGAGCAUGUGCCUGCUUUUCUGGAUCCCUGCCUGCUCCGUCCUUGUCUCUUGAAUAUAAUCCUCAACAUUAUUGGCUGGACCAUAGUGGAUGACGGUUUCCACACUUUGUAAGUCCCAAGCUGAAUGGUGUUGAGCAAUGGACUAUCAAGGGACUAUCAUCCUCUUGAAACCAUUUGGAUCCAUGAAGGACUCUGACACACUUCCCUGUUUUCCUUCUCAUUCAUACAUAUUCUGUAUGUUGUUAUGCAUGAUUGAUGUUGAACUUUAAUUGAAACUUUAGCUUGAAAAUUGGCCGAUUUCUUUUAUGAAAUUUAACUCCUUAUAAGAAUAAGAUCAACAUAUGCAAAAACAAUUGUUGUUAGAUGAUUAUUUUUUUGUAACUGAUCAACAAGAUCAACUUUAGUGUUUUAGUGUUUUAACUUAGCUAAUGUAAUGUAAUACAGUGGAUGUAUGCAUUCCUUUUUCAUAAGGGCAUGAACAUAUAUUACAUAAUGCCUCUACCUGGGACUGCGGCCAAACUUACAAAAUUAACCCUUGUUUGAGAGUAACAAGUAUCAAGUUCAUGAUGAUUGUAGAAGUGAUUGUAUGUAUUCAUAAAUGUGACACAUGCACAUUUUGAAAUGUUAAUAUUUGUGCUUUAACUUUGAUUUGAUGAAUAUCAAAUUAGAUAUUGUAUACACUUUAUAGCUACUUGUGAUCAGUGCACAUUUUUAUACCUUUAGAUUGUGCAGUUUCAUAGUGGUUAGUAAGAAUAUUUUGUGAAUUUAUACUUGUUUUAUCACAAAACAUGUGAAUGAGUGAAUGUCGUCUCAUACUGCAGUCAGCAAUAUUGCAGCCAUAUGAAGGCAGCCUGUAAACCAGUAAUUGAUACGCACACCAUCCUAGUACAUAAAACAUUCGCUCUCCAUGCCUAUUUAUGGUGUCCCCGUCGUGAUUUUGCUGGGAUAUUGCCAAAAGAUGCGUAAAUCCAUGCUCUCUCAAUUCAACAUGCCAUGCCUUGACAGACAAAACGAAAUACAAAAUAUAACAUUUAUACUUACAAUUUUGCAAUGCAGUGUGCUUCAUCAAUGAAAAUUGCCAUCAAAAUCUUCUCUUUAGUCAGGCUGUGUUCCAAGAACUGUCUCUGGACUUGCAAAUAUUAUUAUGUCAGUGUCAGGGUGAAAAAACCAUCACAGUAGCAUGGUUGGAGUUAUUAAGUUUCUUAAACACGAAUGGUGCUAAUUCAAAAGUAAGUGAUUUUCCUGAUCCUGUUGGAGAAAAAAAAGGACAUCCUUUCCUCUGAGGUAACUUACAAUCACUUGUCUUUGAUGAUUCCUGAAGUGAUCAAUUAUGUAACUGCAUUACCUUCCAUACCAACAGUUAUACAUGUAGUUAAGUUAAAUAGAGGGCGUAUAUACUUAAAACACAACAUCAAUCCUUUGUUCCGUU